GAUGAACGCUGGCGGCGUGCUUAACACAUGCAAGUCGAGCGAAGCGCUUUGGCGGAUUUCUUCGGAUUGAAGCCUUGGUGACUGAGCGGGCGUACGGGUCGAAGGUACGCCGUAGGGUUAACCGUGCCUCAUACAGGGGGAUAACAGUUGGAAACGACUGCUAAUACCGCAUAAGCGCACAGUACCGCAAUGGUACGGUGUGAAAAACUCCGGUGGUAUGAGAUGGACCCGCGUCUGAUUAGCUAGUUGGUGGGGUAACGGCCUACCAAGGCGACGAUCAGUAGCCGGCCUGAGAGGGUAGGAACGGCCACAUUGGACGUGAGACGACGGCCGACG
Molecule: ribosomal RNA, 336 nt
Filed under: uncultured bacterium
Lineage: Bacteria
Description: bacterial SSU rRNA
Rfam family: Bacterial small subunit ribosomal RNA
Source: RNAcentral